AAUAGAUGGAACCGAAUAGAACACGUACAGCUCAUAAUAUUAUAAUAUUGACAUACCAAUCUGAAUUAUUCUAACAUUAUAAAAUAAAAGAGAUAGAGAUAGAUAAAUUGGAGUGAUGUAGCAGCCUUUUAUUCUACGUGUAGACUUAAGUUUUUUUGGAGGUGGAGGUGGCAAAAAGACAUGUGCAUCAAAGGCCGGUUAUGGACUUGUGGUUUGUAUCACAGCUCGUCACAGCUCGUCACGACAUA
Molecule: long non-coding RNA, 248 nt
Organism: Arabidopsis thaliana (thale cress)
Lineage: Eukaryota; Viridiplantae; Streptophyta; Magnoliopsida; Brassicales; Brassicaceae
Product: other RNA
Exons: 1
Source: RefSeq